AAUUAUUCUAUCAAAAUAAUGCUGCUUACCUCAUUUUUGUUCAUCUAUAGCAUUUCUGUGGAUCGCAUUGUAAAAAGCAAAAGUUGCUGAAAAAAAUGCAUCUGUCAUAUUAAUUUGACUAGACAAAUCCCAUUUCUUGCCAAAACAAAAAGCCCAUAAAAGAGCUUAUAUAUGCAACAACACUAAUUUGCAGAACCUAUCAGACCAAAUAACCCUCCCAAAUGCAGUUCUUCAACUUCUUUUCCCUAUUUCUUUUUGUUUCUUUCCUCUUUCAAUUGAGGAAAUGGAAGAAUUCCAAUAGCCAAACCAAAAGAUUGCCUCCAGGUCCAUGGAAAUUACCUUUAAUUGGAAGCAUGCUUCAUUUGCUAGGUGGAUCUCCACAUCGUGUCCUUAGAGAUUUAGCCAAAAAAUAUGGACCAAUUAUGCACCUUCAACUAGGUGAAGUUUCUCUAGUUGCUGUUACUUCAGCUGAGAUGGCAAAAGAAGUACUAAAAACUCAUGACCUCGCUUUUGCAUCUAGGCCUUUACUUGUUGCUGCUGAGAUUGUUUGUUAUAAAGGGACCGACAUUGUCUUUUCCCCCUAUGGCGAUUACUGGAGACAAAUGCGUAAAAUUUGUCUCUUAGAGUUACUCAGUGUCAAAAAUGUUAAGUCAUUCAGCUCCAUUAGACAAGAUGAAGGUCUUCAAUCAUCUUCUGGUGAGACAGUUAACGCAACAAAAAGGAUUUAUCAAUUCGCAAGCUCUAUGACAUGUAGAUCGGCAUUUGGGAAAGUAUACAAGGAGCAAGAUGAACUUAUAGUACUAGUGAAAAAAGUGUCAGCCUUAAUGUAAGGAUUUGAUGUGGCUGAUGUAUUUCCAUCACUGAAAUUUCUUCGUGUGCUCUGUGGAAUGAAGGGUAAAAUUAUGGAUGUCCACCAUGGGUUAGAUGCCAUUCUUGAAAACAUCAUCAGCGAGCGCAAGAAAAUUGCAGCCGGUGAAGUAGGAGGUGAAGGUUUAAUUGAUGUCCUGCUAAGACUUAUGAAAGAGGGAGGCCUUCAAUUUCCUAUCACCAACGACAACAUUAAAGCCAUUAUUUUUGACAUGUUUGCUGCGGGAACUGAAACCUCAUCAACAACAAUUGACUGGGCCAUGGUAGAAAAGAUGAAGAAUCCAAGUGUAUUGGCCAAAGCUCAAAUAGAGGUAAGAAAAGCCUUUAGAGGAAAAGAAACUUUUGAUGAAAAUAAUGUCGAAGAGUUGAAAUACCUAAAGUUAGUCAUUAAAGAAACUUUCAGACUCCAUCCUCCAUUUCCCCUUUUGCUCCCAAGAGAAUGUAGGGAAGAAACAGACAUAAACGGCUACACUAUUCCUUUGAAAGCAAAAGUCAUGGUUAAUGUUUGGGCUAUUGGAAGAGAUCCAAUAUUGGGAGGACGCAGAAAGCUUUAAACCCGAAAGAUUUGAGCACAACUCUAUGGAUUUUGUUGGUAAUAAUUUUGAAUAUCUUCCCUUUGGCAGUGAAAGAAGGAAUUGCCCUGGGAUAUCAUUUGGUUUAGCUAAUGUGUAUUAUCCGUUGGCUCAAUUAUUGUAUGACUUUGAUUGGAAACUCCCAAAUGGAAUCUAUCCAAGUGAACUAGACUUGACUGAAUCGGCUGGAGCAACUUGUGCUAGGAAGAGCAACCUGUACGUGAUCGCUACUCCUUAUCAACCUUGUCAAGAGUGAUGUCAUGGCAUCAAUUCAUUUUUAAAUAAAAACUUGCUUUUGUAUUUGUAAACACCACCAUUGUACUUUCGACGCAAGAACAUUUCCAUCACAUUCUUCUUUUCAAA
Nicotiana tabacum (common tobacco) is the source of this 1802-nucleotide RNA transcript. It is a transcript of the gene named premnaspirodiene oxygenase-like, with no coding region annotated. Lineage: Eukaryota; Viridiplantae; Streptophyta; Magnoliopsida; Solanales; Solanaceae. The record is from RefSeq and is a predicted model, not a curated record.